Molecule: non-coding RNA, 107 nt
Organism: Gossypium hirsutum (cotton)
Lineage: Eukaryota; Viridiplantae; Streptophyta; Magnoliopsida; Malvales; Malvaceae
Source: Rfam
AAUCCAUGCAUUGGACAUUUCUAAAUUAAGUCUUUAAAUCAUUCACAAGAUUCAUAUAAUGUUUCAUCGUUCAAUUGUUGAAAAGAUGUGAUGUCAUUUCUAAGCUU